AUAUCAAUAAGCGGAGGAAAAGAAACCAACAGGGAUUCCCCUAGUAACGGCGAGUGAAGAGGGAAAAGCUCAACUUUGGAAUCUCACGGGUUCCCCGUGCGAAUUGUAGUUUCGAGAAGUGUUUUCGGGAACGAGCUGGGCAAAAGUCUGCUGGAAUGCAGCGUCGUAGAGGGUGAGAACCCCGUGCUUUGGCCCGGACUUUGUUCCUGUGUGAUACGCUUUCAAAGAGUCGGAUAGUUUGGGAAUGCUGUCCUAAAUGGGUGGUAAAUACCAUCUAAAGCUAAAUACAGGCGAGAGACCGAUAGCGCACAAGUA
This 315-nucleotide ribosomal RNA is filed under the name uncultured Chytridiomycota. RNAcentral's name for it is "partial large subunit ribosomal RNA". It matches the Rfam family "Eukaryotic large subunit ribosomal RNA", at positions 40 to 350 of the family's 3401-position model. The record is from RNAcentral. Lineage: Eukaryota; Fungi; Chytridiomycota.